CACGUAGGGUGCGAGCGUUGUCCGGAAUUAUUGGGCGUAAAGAGCUCGUAGGCGGUGUGUCGCGUCCGCCGUGAAAACCUGCAGCUUAACUGUGGGCUUGCGGUCGAUACGGGCAUCACUGGAGUUCGGCAGGGGAGACUGGAAUUCCUGGUGUAGCGGUGAAAUGCGCAGAUAUCAGGAGGAACACCGGUGGCGAAGGCAGCUCGCUGGGACGUUACUGACGCUGAGACGCGAAAGCGUGGGGAGCGAACAGG
This 254-nucleotide ribosomal RNA is filed under the name uncultured bacterium. RNAcentral's name for it is "partial 16S ribosomal RNA". It matches the Rfam family "Bacterial small subunit ribosomal RNA", at positions 524 to 776 of the family's 1533-position model. The record is from RNAcentral.